RNAcentral lists this ribosomal RNA (402 nucleotides) under uncultured bacterium. Its description in RNAcentral is "bacterial SSU rRNA". It matches the Rfam family "Bacterial small subunit ribosomal RNA", at positions 355 to 774 of the family's 1533-position model. The record is from RNAcentral.
UAAGGAAUAUUGGUCAAUGGACGCAAGUCUGAACCAGCAACGCCGCGUGAGGGAUGAAGUAUUUCGGUAUGUAAACCUCGAAAGAAUGGGAAGAAUAAAUGACGGUACCAUUUAUAAGCUCCGGCUAACUACGUGCCAGCAGCCGCGGUAAUACGUAGGGAGCAAGCGUUGUUCGGAUUUACUGGGCGUAAAGGGCGCGUAGGCGGCGCGGUAAGUCACUUGUGAAAUCUCUGAGCUUAACUCAGAACGGCCAAGUGAUACUGCUGUGCUAGAGUGCGGAAGAGNCAACCGGAAUUCUUGGUGUAGCGGUGAAAUGCGUAGAUAUCAAGAGGAACACCUGAGGCGAAGGCGGGUUGCUGGGCCGACACUGACGCUGAUGCGCGAAAGCCAGGGGAGCAAACG